This 347-nucleotide ribosomal RNA is filed under the name uncultured bacterium. RNAcentral describes it as "partial 16S ribosomal RNA". It matches the Rfam family "Bacterial small subunit ribosomal RNA", at positions 338 to 682 of the family's 1533-position model. The record is from RNAcentral.
CCUACGGGUGGCAGCAGUGAGGAAUAUUGGUCAAUGGACGAGAGUCUGAACCAGCCAAGUAGCGUGAAGGAUGACUGCCCUAUGGGUUGUAAACUUCUUUUAUAAGGGAAUAAAAUGUGACACGUGUGGGAUUUUGUAUGGACCAUAUGAAUAAGGAUCGGCUAACUCCGUGCCAGCAGCCGCGGUAAGACGGAGGAACCGAGCGUUAUCCGGCUUUAUUGGGUUUAAAGGGAGCGUAGGUGGAUUGUUAAGUCAGUUGUGAAAGUUUGCGGCUCAACCGUAAAAUUGCAGUUGAAACUGGCAGUCUUGCGUACAGUCGCGGUGGGCGGCCUUCGUGUUGUAGCGGU